UUAAGUAUUGUGGGGUGCAUGUGUUUAUGCAUGUCAGUGUACGUGCCACCUCACAGCAUGUGGAUGCCUCUGUCUCGUCCCUCCCUAACUAGGUUUGCAGGGUUAAAUUGAGUGUGUGACUGCAUAUAAUUCAAUCGCAGAACAGCCCCAUUUCCCUCUGCCUGCCUGCUUGGUCCUACUGAUUCAACACAACAGCAGCAGCACAAAAUCUAUACCAAUAAAUUUCACCUUCAAGGGGUUGCAUGUCCCAUCAUUCAAGGAUGCCCCUGCCAGACACCAAGCCAUAGCUGGUUAGAAACCAGAAGCAGACUGCAAUUGCCCCUUGGUGCUGAUGAUGAGUGUUUUUACCAUUUUUCAUUAUAAUGUAUAGUUAUAAUUACUAAACUCAGGACAGCGCCUUCAAAAUACAUCCACACUCACCCAGUACUGUCAGCAAUGUGUUUAUAUGUUGUUAAAUCAAGGUUCAUGUUGGUCAUCUCAUUUGUUCUGUAAUGGCUGAAUGCUGUCCCCAUGAUUGAUUGUGCUUAUUUGAUGUGCAUCUUAACAAGGAUCAUGGGUCACUCUCAGAUCAGCCGCAGCAGUCAGACUUCAAUACUCCGAUGUGAUGUACGCACCAUUUCUACAGGCUACAUGGGCACUAAAUGUUCCUGAUGCCCUUCAGAGGUAUCACUCCCAGUCAUCCUGGAACACUGAAACAGGCAAGAAGAGAAAGCUUCACUAUGCAGAAAGGAGGCGGAGAUGACACCGCACAACAGAAAGGCUGCGAAGGAGUAAUGGUUUAAUUGCCAGCAAAGAGAAGAAUAAAGCAAAGGCUGUGAUUGUGUAAUAAGAUAUUUAUCUUGUUGUCAAAUAGAAUUACACCCAAACACAAGGUUAUAAUUACCAGUGAAAACACAAAAAGAAGCUCGUGAAUUCUGCUUUUAUUUUUUAAAAUGUUUGCUUCCAUUUCUCACACAAAUGAGGCAAAUUAUUUUCUCACAUUUAAACAUAACAUGAAGACAUUUGUGUUGUAUGCACACACAUACCACGUUCUCAAUUAAAGACCUUCUGUGAAGAGAGAAAAAAUACAUUAAACUCAUGAACAUGAAUCUCAUUUUACAUGUUCGUUUUCCCCUUGAUCUCAGCAUAUUGUACACCCUGGAUGCACGUCUGCCCAAACACAAAUACUCAAUGAAUA
Monopterus albus (swamp eel) is the source of this 1177-nucleotide long non-coding RNA. RefSeq lists it as uncharacterized. The record is from RefSeq and is a predicted model, not a curated record. The transcript has 3 exons. NCBI's taxonomy places the organism in Eukaryota, Metazoa, Chordata, Actinopteri, Synbranchiformes, Synbranchidae.